AGUGAACGCUGGCGGUAGGCCUAACACAUGCAAGUAGAACGGCAGCACAGUAAGAGCUUGCUCUUACGGGUGGCGAGUGGCGGACGGGUGAGGAAUACAUCGGAAUCUACUUUUUCGUGGGGGAUAACGUAGGGAAACUUACGCUAAUACCGCAUACGACCUACGGGUGAAAGCAGGGGAUCUUCGGACCUUGCGGGAUUGAAUGAGCCGAUGUCGGAUUAGCUAGUUGGCGGGGUAAAGGCCAACCAAGGCGACGAUCCGUAGCUGGUCUGAGAGGGUGGUGAGCCACACUGGAACUGAGACACGGUCCAGACUCCUACGGGAGGCAGCAGUGGGGAAUAUUGGACAAUGGGCGCAAGCCUGAUCCAGCCAGACCGCGUGGGUGAAGAAGGCCUUCGGGUUGUAAAGCCCUUUUGUUGGGAAAGAAAAGCAGCAGGUUAAUACCCCGCUGUUCUGACGGUACCCAAAGAAUAAGCACCGGCUAACUUCGUG
RNAcentral lists this ribosomal RNA (492 nucleotides) under uncultured bacterium. Its description in RNAcentral is "partial 16S ribosomal RNA". It matches the Rfam family "Bacterial small subunit ribosomal RNA", at positions 29 to 507 of the family's 1533-position model. The record is from RNAcentral.